Molecule: ribosomal RNA, 492 nt
Filed under: uncultured bacterium
Lineage: Bacteria
Description: partial 16S ribosomal RNA
Rfam family: Bacterial small subunit ribosomal RNA
Source: RNAcentral
AGUGAACGCUGGCGGUAGGCCUAACACAUGCAAGUCGAACGGCAGCACAGUAAGAGCUUGCUCUUACGGGUGGCGAGUGGCGGACGGGUGAGGAAUACAUCGGAAUCUACUUUUUCGUGGGGGAUAACGUAGGGAAACUUACGCUAAUACCGCAUACGACCUACGGGUGAAAGCAGGGGAUCUUCGGACCUUGCGCGAUUGAAUGAGCCGAUGUCGGAUUAGCUAGUUGGCGGGGUAAAGGCCCACCAAGGCGACGAUCCGUAGCUGGUCUGAGAGGAUGAUCAGCCACACUGUAACUGAGACACGGUCCAGAAUCCUACGGGAGGGAGCAGGGGGGAAUAUUGGACAAUGGGCGCAAGCCUGAUCUAGCCAUACCGCGUGGGUGAAGAAGGCCUUCGGGUUGUAAAGCCCUUUUGUUGGGAAAGAAAAGCAGCAGGUUAAUACCCCGCUGUUCUGACGGUACCCAAAGAAUAAGCACCGGCUAACUUCGUG